Megalobrama amblycephala (Wuchang bream) is the source of this 399-nucleotide long non-coding RNA. RefSeq lists it as uncharacterized. The transcript is spliced from 2 exons. The record is from RefSeq and is a predicted model, not a curated record. NCBI's taxonomy places the organism in Eukaryota, Metazoa, Chordata, Actinopteri, Cypriniformes, Xenocyprididae.
UUUCCGAAAGAGCAAGCACAAGGACGCAUUCAUCUUCAACUUGGUUGUGACGCCAUUCCCAGCUCCAACAUCCCUCUUCCAGUUUUGACGCCAGCAUAACCUCUCACAACCCACACUUCGGACAAAGUCUGCAAUGAAACAAACAGUAUCCUGCUUUGUCAAUAUGAUCUGUGAACUGCCAACCUAUCCAUUAAUCCAGAAACAUUCUCUGACUGCAGGACUUUUUGUUGAUACAUUCACUGCUUAUUGAAUUAUUCAGAAUUCCUUCAUUUUAACAUAUUUUCAAACAUUAAAAAAGUAGCCUGUAGAUACUAAUGUUAGUCAUGUAAUGACCAAAGAAUUGUAGCAGAUUUUACUUGCUGUACUCAAGCUGAAUAUAAAACUUUUGAAAUACAAAAA